Molecule: long non-coding RNA, 313 nt
Organism: Drosophila santomea
Lineage: Eukaryota; Metazoa; Arthropoda; Insecta; Diptera; Drosophilidae
Exons: 3
Source: RefSeq, a predicted model, not a curated record
UCUCAUUUACUGUCAAAAAGUUCCUGGAGUAACAAGUACAAAGUGAAUUAAGUGAAAUAAUUGAAGAACAAUGUGAAAAUGGGCACGGUGUGCAGGUUAAAAAUCGACUUCUGAGAAAUAUGCCCAGAGAAAGAGCGUGCAUUGUUUUCGAAGUAGGACGACCUGAAGCGCAGUGUUUCCUUUUUACGAUAGGAAGAUUAAAAACUAUCUCAGCAGGCAACAGCUUACCGAAGCACAGCCGGCAAUAAAUGAAGAUACCCAGGACUCUAUUUGUUAUUUUGCUUGACACCGCGUUUCGUUAAAUAUGUUUAGC